AAGCCACUUCAGAAUGUGAUUACAGCAAUGAGAGGUGUUCUCAGUAAAGCAGAACUCCAAUGUGUACUCACUGGUUCGAGGUCUUUCCACUGCGUAUUGUGUUAGCACCCUCGGGCAUUCAACAACUUGAAAACUGGAUUGAAAAUGAGAGACAGAGCAGCCACUGCAGAAGCUUCCAAAAUCACUCUGCACUUUCUUGAACUGCUGCAAUCCACGUGGUGAUGUGGCUCCCAUGUUGCAAAUUGGUCGAUGAUAUCCUUUGAAGAACAGGAGAUCUGAAGUGGACACAUUACUCCAGAAGAGGCCUCACUGAUGUUCUGCACAAUUUCAACAUGACGUCCCACCUCCUGUACUCAAAAGGAAAUUUGAAAGGGAACAUUUACUGACAGGCAGCUCAACUCAAACACUGGAUCAAAAACUGCCAGGAACACUUAAUUCUCAGGAGCUUUGAACAUGGAAGGAACAAGCAUCGUUUACAGUGAAGAGAAACCAUACAUGUGGUCUGUAUGGACAAGCCUUCAGUCAGUUCUCUGUCCUGUCAGUACGUAAAUGCAGUCAAAACAGGGUGACAACAAUGACAUCAAGCAGCACUUGCUUUGCAAUAUCAUAGUGAUGGAUCUCAGUUUGAGUUAAGCAAGGGCCACUCAUCUCCUCUCCUCCCUACAUUCUUGGUGCAAACAUGGACCAAACAGCUGAAUUCCAAAUGUGAGAGUGACUAUCCACUAUCCUAAGACUCCCUUUGACAGAGCAUUGUAUUAAGGAAUCAUGACAAAGCUAAAUUCAAGAGGAACCAGAGAAUAUUAUUCUUCCUUGGAUAGCCGGUUUUUGAAAGCAUUGUGUCUUCAGACCUCAGUAGAUUGAAACAAGGUGAGUUUAUUCAAACUUGUGCCACAUACACGUGGAAGAGGUCUAUAAGUCGAGCAUGGAGACACUUCCAUUUACAGCUACUCAGAAACAGCAGAUGAAGGCAUUUUCACGUCAGAAUGGUUGCAUGUAACAUUGAUAUAAAAUAAAUUUAUAUGUCAGUUACUUAAUAAAACAGGAUGCUGUUCAGUUUCUGACAAAGUUCUGAGUCUUCUAAUUUCAACAGGACUGCCACUUCCAUACUAUCUUCAGAGCUUCUCUACCCCACCAUCAGCUCACAGCUGGGUCAGUGUCUUGUUAUUGCAGCAAGUCUGUGAGGGUGUCCAAAAACGAAUUUGACAUUUGCAACAAGAGCAGGGUUUCAACAUGUACAGCAGUCUCACGUGGAGGGCUGAAUAAGUGAUCGCUCGAGUGUCGGUGGAGUGAGACGGACGGGCCCGCAAGGUACGAUUCACCUUGGUCUCUCUCACUAACCUGCCAUCCGUGUGACCCCUCGCCCCUGCGUGUCUCAGUACUGACGGAACCCGAGACAACUCACGGUCUUGAACACUGCUGAAUCCUAACGCCUGGAGGUUCGAGUCCCCAGAUGUAUUCAGUGGGUGGAUAGAGGCUUUCCCAACGACAAACAACAAAGCCUCAACAGUAGUAAAACUGUCAUUAACCAAAAUAAUACCAAGGUUUGGAGUACGGCAACAAAUUCGUUCGAACGGCGGCUCUCACUUUGUAGGGAAAAUUAAUAAGGAACUGUGUGGUACAUUUCACAUCCAACAACAAUUCCACUGCCUACCACCCUCGGGCAGCAGGGAUAAUGGAGAGAGCUAAUGGAACACUGAAAACCAAACUGACCAAGUUGACACCAGAAACUGGCCUGAAUUGGUUAAAGGUUUUGCCACUAGCCUUGUAUCACAUGCGAAUAACACCCCACUCUACUACUGGGCUCUCAGCAGUGGAAAUAGCCUAUGGCCUACCCAGCAGAACACCAUGGGAUGACAAUGCCAGCCCACCCACCAAAACUGACCUAAAUGUGAUGGGAGAAGAAAUGCAAAGGUACUUCCAACAACUAACAUCAUCUUUAAGUUUCUCCAUUUGCCGGUGAAGUGCGCCUUCGGACCACCUCCGCAGACACCGGAACAAGACCUCGAGAUUCAGGAUCGAUCUUCGUGGCUGCAGAUUGGAGAUUUUGUACUUGUCCGGGACUGGGAUCGCCCCAAGCUUGGACCAAGGUGGAAAGGACCGUACCAAGUGUUUCUUCAGACUCCGACAGCCCUUAAAGCUCAAGGACUGAAUCGCUGGAUCCACUUAAGUGACUGUAAACGAUGGAUUUCCUCAUCAGCGUGCAUUUAACCAUUGGACUGAGUAUUAUUCUGCCCAUGCAUGGCCAGCAGGACGAUCUGUUUUAUAAAACACACAUCCGGCUGCACGGGAAUUGGACAGCAUGUUACCCACUAGCACCGUCCGUCGAAGCGUUAUUUGUAGCGACACCUGCCUGGAAGCCUCGUCAGCUUUAUGAAAUAGAGU
This is a long non-coding RNA of Stegostoma tigrinum, 2382 nucleotides long. RefSeq lists it as uncharacterized. The transcript has 6 exons. The record is from RefSeq and is a predicted model, not a curated record. NCBI's taxonomy places the organism in Eukaryota, Metazoa, Chordata, Chondrichthyes, Orectolobiformes, Stegostomatidae.